GAUGAACGCUGGCGGCGUGCCUAAUACAUGCAAGUCGAACGCUUCACUUCGGUGAAGAGUGGCGAACGGGUGAGUAAUACAUAAGUAACCUGGCAUCUACAGGGGGAUAACUGAUGGAAACGUCAGCUAAGACCGCAUAGGUGUAGAGAUCGCAUGAACUCUAUAUGAAAAGUGCUACGGGACUGGUAGAUGAUGGACUUAUGGCGCAUUAGCUUGUUGGUAGGGUAACGGCCUACCAAGGCGACGAUGCGUAGCCGACCUGGGAGGGUGACCGGCCACACUGGGACUGAGACACGGCCCAGACUCCUACGGGAGGCAGCAGUAGGGAAUUUUCGGCAAUGGGGGAAACCCUGACCGAGCAACGCCGCGUGAAGGAAGAAGUAAUUCGUUAUGUAAACUUCUGUCAUAGAGGAAGAACGGUGGAUAUAGGGAAUGAUAUCCAAGUGACGGUACUCUAUAAGAAAG
RNAcentral lists this ribosomal RNA (465 nucleotides) under uncultured bacterium. RNAcentral's name for it is "bacterial SSU rRNA". It matches the Rfam family "Bacterial small subunit ribosomal RNA", at positions 28 to 490 of the family's 1533-position model. The record is from RNAcentral.